AUUGAACGCUGGCGGCAGGCUUAACACAUGCAAGUCGAGCGGGGUGAUGGUGCUUGCACUAUCACUUAGCGGCGGACGGGUGAGUAAUGCUUAGGAAUCUGCCUAUUAGUGGGGGACAACAUCUCGAAAGGGAUGCUAAUACCGCAUACGUCCUACGGGAGAAAGCAGGGGAUCACUUGUGACCUUGCGCUAAUAGAUGAACCUAAGUCGGAUUAGCUAGUUGGUGGGGUAAAGGCCUACCAAGGCGACGAUCUGUAGCGGGUCUGAGAGGAUGAUCCGCCAGACUGGGGCUGAAACACGGCCCAGACUCCUACGGGAGGCAGCAGUGGGGAAUAUUGGACAAUGGGGGGAACCCUGAUCCAGCCAUGCCGGGUGUGUGAAGAAGGCCUUAUGGUUGUAAAGCACUUUAAGCGAGGAGGAGGCUCUUUUGGUUAAUACCCAAGAUGAGUGGACGUUACUCGCAGAAUAAGCACCGGCUAACUCUGUGCCAGCCGCCGUAAUAC
Molecule: ribosomal RNA, 503 nt
Filed under: uncultured bacterium
Lineage: Bacteria
Description: partial 16S ribosomal RNA
Rfam family: Bacterial small subunit ribosomal RNA
Source: RNAcentral